CGGGUGAGUAACACGUGGAUAACCUACCUAUAAGACUGGGACAACUUCGGGAAACCGGAGCUAAUACCGGAUAAUAUAUUGAACCGCAUGGUUCAAUAGUGAAAGACGGUUUUGCUGUCACUUAUAGAUGGAUCCGCGCUGCAUUAGCUAGUUGGUAAGGUAACGGCUUACCAAGGCAACGAUGCGUAGCCGACCUGAGAGGGUGAUCGGCCACACUGGAACUGAGACACGGUCCAGACUCCUACGGGAGGCAGCAGCU
This 259-nucleotide ribosomal RNA is filed under the name uncultured Staphylococcus sp. RNAcentral's name for it is "partial 16S ribosomal RNA". It matches the Rfam family "Bacterial small subunit ribosomal RNA", at positions 103 to 355 of the family's 1533-position model. The record is from RNAcentral. Lineage: Bacteria; Bacillati; Bacillota; Bacilli; Caryophanales; Staphylococcaceae.